UAUAAUAUCGAAAAUUACAAUACCUAAAGUGACUAAAACCCAACACCCAAAAUGAUUUGAAUCCAUAAUAACCCGACAUGAAAAUCUAAACCUCAAACCCGAAUAACCCUAACUCGAGCUAUCCAAACUUGAAACAAUCAUACUCAAAAUGAUCAGAAUUCUAAAAGAGUAUUAUUUAAUUAAAAAUGAACUGAAUUUAAAGCCACCAAAACAAAAAAAAAAAAUAAUAAAUUGAAUUGAAACAACUCGAAUUCAUCGUUUAAUGACUCGAC
RNAcentral lists this long non-coding RNA (272 nucleotides) under Gossypium raimondii (Peruvian cotton). Its description in RNAcentral is "long non-coding RNA (GRAI_LNC000087)". The record is from RNAcentral. Lineage: Eukaryota; Viridiplantae; Streptophyta; Magnoliopsida; Malvales; Malvaceae.